UUGAUCCUGGCUCAGGACGAACGCUGGCGGCGUGCCUAAUACAUGCAAGUAGAACGGAGGAGCUUGCUCUUCGAGUUGCGAACGGGUGAGUAACGCGUAGGUAACCUGCCUUGUAGCGGGGGAUAACUAUUGGAAACGAUAGCUAAUACCGCAUAACAAUGGGACACAUGUCUUUAUUUGAAAGGGGAUUGCUCCACUACAAGAUGGACCUGCGUUGUAUUAGCUAGUAGGUGAGGUAACGGCUCACCUAGGCGACGAUACAUAGCCGACCUGAGAGGGUGAUCGGCCACACUGGGACUGAGACGCGGCCCAGACUCCUACGGGAGGCAGCAGUAGGGAAUCUUCGGCAAUGGGGGCAACCCUGACCGAGCAACGCCGCGUGAGUGAAGAAGGUUUUCGGAUCGUAAAGCUCUGUUGUAAGUCAAGAACGAGUGUGAGGAAAUUCACACUGUGACGGUAGCUUACCAGAAAGGGACGGCUAACUACGUGCCAGCAGCCGCGGUAAUACGUAGGUCCCGAGCGUUGUCCGGAUUUAUUGGGCGUAAAGCGAGCGCAGGCGGUUUGAUAAGUCUGAAGUUAAAGGCUGUGGCUCAACCAUAGUUCGCUUUGGAAACUGUCAAACUUGAGUGCAGAAGGGGAGAGUGGAAUUCCAUGUGUAGCGGUGAAAUGCGUAGAUAUAUGGAGGAACACCGGUGGCGAAAGCGGCUCUCUGGUCUGUAACUGACGCUGAGGCUCGAAAGCGUGGGGAGCGAACAGGAUUAGAUACCCUGGUAGUCCACGCCGUAAACGAUGAGUGCUAGGUGUUGGAUCCUUUCCGGAUUCAGUGCCGCAGCUAACGCAUUAAGCACUCCGCCUGGGGAGUACGACCGCAAGGUUGAAACUCAAAGGAAUUGACGGGGGCCCGCACAAGCGGUGGAGCAUGUGGUUUAAUUCGAAGCAACGCGAAGAACCUUACCAGGUCUUGACAUCCCGAUCUAUUUCUAGAGAUAGAAAGUUACUUCGGUAAUCGGUGACAGGUGGUGCAUGGUUGUCGUCAGCUCGUGUCGUGAGAUGUUGGGUUAAGUCCCGCAACGAGCGCAACCCCUAUUGUUAGUUGCCAUCAUUCAGUUGGGCACUCUAGCGAGACUGCCGGUAAUAAACCGGAGGAAGGUGAGGAUGACGUCAAAUCAUCAUGCCCCUUAUGACCUGGGCUACACACGUGCUACAAUGGUUGGUACAACGAGUUGCGAGUCGGUGACGGCAAGCUAAUCUCUUAAAGCCAAUCUCAGUUCGGAUUGUAGGCUGCAACUCGCCUACAUGAAGUCGGAAUCGCUAGUAAUCGCGGAUCAGCACGCCGCGGUGAAUACGUUCCCGGGCCUUGCACUCACCGCCC
This 1372-nucleotide ribosomal RNA is filed under the name uncultured bacterium. RNAcentral's name for it is "bacterial SSU rRNA". It matches the Rfam family "Bacterial small subunit ribosomal RNA". The record is from RNAcentral.